This 494-nucleotide ribosomal RNA is filed under the name uncultured Propionibacterium sp. Its description in RNAcentral is "bacterial SSU rRNA". It matches the Rfam family "Bacterial small subunit ribosomal RNA", at positions 1 to 507 of the family's 1533-position model. The record is from RNAcentral. Lineage: Bacteria; Bacillati; Actinomycetota; Actinomycetes; Propionibacteriales; Propionibacteriaceae.
UAGAGUUUGACUCCGUGGCGUACAGGACGAACGCUGGCGGCGUGCUUAACACAUGCAAGUCGAACGGAAAGGCCCUGCUUUUGUGGGGUGCUCGAGUGGCGAACGGGUGAGUAACACGUGAGUAACCUGCCCUUGACUUUGGGAUAACUUCAGGGAAACUGGGGCUAAUACCGGAUAGGAGCUCCUGCUGCAUGGUGGGGGUUGGAAAGUUUCGGCGGUUGGGGAUGGACUCGCGGCUUAUCAGCUUGUUGUGGGGGUAGUGGCUUACCAAGGCUUUGACGGGUAGCCGGCCUGAGAGGGUGACCGGCCACAUUGGGACUGAGAUACGGCCCAGACUCCUACGGGAGGCAGCAGCGGGGAAUAUUGCACAAUGGGCGGAAGCCUGAUGCAGCAACGCCGCGUGCGGGAUGACGGCCUUCGGGUUGUAAACCGCUUUCGCCUGUGACGAAGCGUGAGUGACGGUAAUGGGUAAAGAAGCACCGGCUAACUACGUG